This 125-nucleotide microRNA precursor is filed under the name Brassica napus (rape). RNAcentral describes it as "MIR9563 microRNA precursor family". It matches the Rfam family "MIR9563 microRNA precursor family". The record is from Rfam by way of RNAcentral. Lineage: Eukaryota; Viridiplantae; Streptophyta; Magnoliopsida; Brassicales; Brassicaceae.
GGAAUAUAAGAACCCGUCUCUUAACUUUUAACUAAAAAAGUUAAGAACCGGUUCUUAAAACUCUUAUUUAAGAACCGGUUCUUAGUUUUUUUAGUUAAAAGUUAAGAGGCGGAUUCUUAUAUUCC